Molecule: long non-coding RNA, 1701 nt
Filed under: Diabrotica virgifera virgifera (western corn rootworm)
Lineage: Eukaryota; Metazoa; Arthropoda; Insecta; Coleoptera; Chrysomelidae
Description: uncharacterized LOC126890566
Source: RNAcentral
UCUCUGCGCCAUAUAGCAAGACCGGAAAUAAUAACAUUUUAGCAGCCGCAUUUUUAGUGGGAGAGAUAUUAUGUCGCAAUGGGUGAAAAUAUUUUAUUUAAUUAUCUAGAUCUUAUUUCGGUUGUUUCAUAUUUCGAGUUGACAACUGUUCCAAGGUAAAAAAUAUUUUUGAACUUAGGUAUUAUACAUUUUCAUUUCAACCAAUCUUUUCACUAAAUUAUUAAUGAUUUUAAUAUAAUAUAAAGUCAUACCUACAUCCACAUGUAGUUAUUUCAAGGUUUACUUUUACUGUAUGUAUUAUUAGAAUCCCGUUUUUAGGAAUAUCCCAGUUUAAGGAAUACAAAUUUGAGGCCCCGAAACUUUUUCAUUUACUCUUUAAGGGGGUAGGUGCAAAAUCUUAGUCCAAUGCUAUUUAAAUUCAUUCAUUUUUUUCGAAUCCUGAGAAAACUAAUAAUAAGUAUUUUUGAAAAAUGUAAAUGCAGAAAGAACAAUUACAUUAUUACCAAGGGCCGAAAGUCUCAUGAAAACUUCUAUAAUGUUUAUUUUAUUAAGUUAGUUCUUUAAGUUAGUUAUUUUAAGUUCUAGCUGCAACAAACCAUUUAUUUUUCUGUUUUAAAUUGGCUGGAACGGUAAUAAAAAUCUUGUCAGAACUGUUUUUUGAUGUAUUUACACACCCAGGAACAAAACACAACUUAUUUGGCUUUAUUUUUAAUAAUUAAAUACGUAAAAAACUGCGCACAUUCAAAUACACUGAGUAAAUAAGUAUACAAAACUAGUCGUCGAUCAAAGCAUAGAGGUAUAUAUUGACAUAGAGAGAGUGUCAUUCGGAGCGAAGUGACGACACCAUCUUUUUUCUUUGGAUUAGUGCUACUUCACUCUUACACAUAGUAAAGCUGCGACAGUAUGAUAAACGUCAUUUUUAAGUUAGGAGAAGUACGAAGUUAGCUGAUGUCUUUCCUGUUAUUUUUAUUUAGUCACUGUUUACAUUGGACAUUGACAUUUAUUUGUAGAUGUUGUUAGACGAAUAUUCUGUUUGGUUUUGUUUUUUAUUGUUAAUUGUGCAGCGAAAUUGUGAUAGUAAAUUAAAUAUAAAGUUGUUUAUAGCCUACAGAACUGAAUUAUCCCAUAGUAAUUAUCAGUUUGUGUCAAUUUGUUUGUGUGCAAAAAAGAAAAAACACCUUUCCUUGUGUUUGACCGACUUGUAGCAAGGGCUUUCUUGAGAAGCCUGUAAAUUGCGGGAAUAGGACAGACACGGAUAAAAUCCUCACUUUUUACUGUCCCCAAGGCUAUACAUUUCCCCCAUGCAAUACAUUUAAAUGAAUUUUAUCCAAACAAAGGCAGGAACAUUGGAUAAAAGCAAUAAAGAGAACAGACCACAAAUUAAAAUAUGAGAGUAUGUAGUAAACAUUUUAUAAGUGGAAUAAACACCAGCUAUUUUAAAUGUAGGAAAAGGAGAAACUGCUGGAAUAUAAUUUUACACAAAUGUUUUUGACUAUUGAAGAUUUGGAUAAACAACAGAAGUUACUUUGGGCUAUAGCUAUGUGCAGAUUUAUUUCCUUGUGGAUUACUAUGUUUAUUCUUUUUAACUAUACUUCCUAUAUUGUUUGUGAGAUUAAUAUUAUUAUUUAAUUGAUUAUAUUAAUAUUUUGUAAUAAUAAUCAAUGCUUUGGUUUAACAAAUAGACAACUUAGAAUAGAAAAA